RNAcentral lists this ribosomal RNA (274 nucleotides) under uncultured bacterium. Its description in RNAcentral is "partial 16S ribosomal RNA". It matches the Rfam family "Bacterial small subunit ribosomal RNA", at positions 523 to 796 of the family's 1533-position model. The record is from RNAcentral.
AGACAGAGGGUGCAAACGUUGUUCGGAAUUACUGGGCAUAAAGAGCACGUAGGCGGCUCGCCAAGUCACGCGUGAAAUCCCCCGGCUCAACCGGGGAACUGCGCGCGAUACUGGUGGGCUCGAGGUCGGUAGGGGUGAGCGGAACUCCAGGUGGAGCGGUGAAAUGCGUAGAUAUCUGGAGGAACACCGGUGGCGAAAGCGGCUCACUGGACCGAAACUGACGCUGAGGUGCGAAAGCUAGGGUAGCAAACGGGAUUAGAAACCCCAGUAGUCC